CCUACGGGAGGCAGCAGUGGGGGAUAUUGCACAAUGGGGGAAACCCUGAUGCAGCGACGCCGCGUGGGCGAAGAAGUAUUUCGGUAUGUAAAGCCCUAUCAGCAGGGAAGAAGAAAUGACGGUACCUGAGUAAGAAGCACCGGCUAAAUACGUGCCAGCAGCCGCGGUAAUACGUAUGGUGCAAGCGUUAUCCGGAUUUACUGGGUGGAAAGGGAGCGCAGGCGGCACUGCAAGCCCGAUGUGAAAGCCCGCGGCCCAAACGCGGGACCGCAGUGGAAACUACCGGCCUGGAGUGCCUGAGAGGUAGGCGGAAUGCGUGGUGUAGCGGUGAAAUGCGUAGAUA
RNAcentral lists this ribosomal RNA (343 nucleotides) under uncultured bacterium. RNAcentral's name for it is "partial 16S ribosomal RNA". It matches the Rfam family "Bacterial small subunit ribosomal RNA", at positions 338 to 696 of the family's 1533-position model. The record is from RNAcentral.